This 449-nucleotide ribosomal RNA is filed under the name uncultured bacterium. RNAcentral's name for it is "bacterial SSU rRNA". It matches the Rfam family "Bacterial small subunit ribosomal RNA", at positions 29 to 524 of the family's 1533-position model. The record is from RNAcentral.
AACGAACGCUGGCGGCAUGCCUAACACAUGCAAGUCGAACGAGACCUUCGGGUCUAGUGGCGCACGGGUGCGUAACGCGUGGGAAUCUGCCCUGGGGUGCGGAAUAACUCGGAGAAAUCCGUGCUAAUACCGCAUAAUGUCUUCGGACCAAAGAUUUAUCGCCCUGGGAUGAGCCCGCGUAGGAUUAGCUAGUUGGUGGGUAAAGGCCUACCAAGGCGACGAUCCUUAGCUGGUCUGAGAGGAUGAUCAGCCACACUGGGACUGAGACACGGCCCAGACUCCUACGGGAGGCAGCAGUGGGGAAUAUUGGACAAUGGGCGAAAGCCUGAUCCAGCAAUGCCGCGUGAGUGAUGAAGGCCCUAGGGUGUAAAGCUCUUUUACCCGGGAUGAUAAUGACAGUACCGGGAGAAUAAGACUCCGGCUAACUCCGUGCCAGCAGCCGCGGUAAU